AGAGUUUGAUCCUGGCUCAGAACGAACGCUGGCGGCGCGUCUUAAGCAUGCAAGUCGGGCGGGAUCCAUGCGCUUGCGCAUGGUGAGAGCGGCGGACUGGCGAGUAACACGUGGGCGACGCGCCCUCCGGACGGGAAUAGCCUGUAGAAAUACAGGGUAAUGCCGGUUGCGAACGCGCGCGCUGGAGGCGCGCGUGGAAAGCCCCCACGGGGGCGCCGGAGGAGCGGCCCGCGGCCCAUCAGCCUGUAGGCGGUGCAAGGGACCACCUAGGCUACGACGGGUACCCGGCCUCAGAGGGCGGACGGGCGCAUUGGGACUGAGAUACGGCCCAGACUCCUACGGGAGGCAGCAGCUAAGAAUAUUCCGCAAUGGGGGGAACCCUGACGGAGCGACGCCGCGUGGGCGAGGAAGGCCGGAAGGUUGUAAAGCCCUUUUGCGCGCGAGGAAUAAGGGGAGGAGGGAAUGCCUUCCCGGUGACUGUAGCGCGCGAAUAAGCGCCGGCUAAUUACGUGCCAGCAGCCGCGGUAACACGUAAGGCGCGAGCGUUGUUCGGAAUCAUUGGGCGUAAAGGGCGUGUAGGCGGCCCUGCAAGCCUGGCGUGAAAUCCCGGGGCUCAACCCCGGAACCGCGCUGGGAACUGCUGGGCUGGAGCCGCUGUGGCGCAGCCGGAAUUCCAGGUGUAGGGGUGAAAUCUGUAGAUAUCUGGAAGAACACCGAUGGCGAAGGCAGGCUGCGAGCGGACGGCUGACGCUGAGGCGCGAAGGCGCGGGGAGCGAACAGGAUUAGAUACCCUGGUAGUCCGCGCAGUAAACGAUGCACACUGGGUGUCCGGGCAUGAGCCCGGGUGCCGAAGCGAACGCGUUAAGUGUGCCGCCUGGGGAGUAUGCCCGCAAGGGUGAAACUCAAAGGAAUUGACGGGGGCCCGCACAAGCGGUGGAGCAUGUGGUUUAAUUCGAUGGUACGCGAAGAACCUUACCAAGGCUUGACAUUGAAUGACCGCUUCAGAGAUGGAGCUUCUUCUUCGGAAGCAUGAAAACAGGUGGUGCAUGGCUGUCGUCAGCUCGUGUCGUGAGAUGUUGGGUUAAGUCCCGCAACGAGCGCAACCCCUAUCCUAUGUUACCAGCAAGUAAAGUUGGGGACUCAUAGGAGACUGCCAAGGACAACUUGGAGGAAGGCGGGGAUGACGUCAAGUCAUCAUGCCCCUUAUGUCUUGGGCUACACACGUACUACAAUGGUCGACAACAGAGGGAAGCAAAGCCGCGAGGCAGAGCAAAACCCAGAAACUCGAUCUCAGUUCGGAUCGCAGGCUGCAACCCGCCUGCGUGAAGUCGGAAUCGCUAGUAAUCGCAGGUCAGCAUACUGCGGUGAAUACGUUCCCGGGCCUUGCACACACCGCCCGUCA
This 1402-nucleotide ribosomal RNA is filed under the name uncultured bacterium. RNAcentral describes it as "bacterial SSU rRNA". It matches the Rfam family "Bacterial small subunit ribosomal RNA". The record is from RNAcentral.